This is a non-coding RNA of Pelobates cultripes (western spadefoot toad), 242 nucleotides long. Lineage: Eukaryota; Metazoa; Chordata; Amphibia; Anura; Pelobatidae. The record is from the annotation of a GenBank genome assembly.
CUGGAGUCUAAGCUCUACACUAGCAGUCAGGUUUUGAAAGUUACUCACUACAGCCUUUUCUGGAGUACACAUUUCACACUCACCAGAGCUGAAUUUUCAAUAGUCAAUGGCUACUGAAGAAAUUUUAGCCCUUGACUCCGGGAUCAACAGAAGGGGGCCUAAUAUACUAAUUUACUUUUUCUACUCCAUGUUCAAGGAAGUACGAACUUCCACUUCCGAUGCAAAGGGUUAAAGCAUAAAAC